AAUGAACGCUGGCGGCAGGCUUAACACAUGCAAGUCGAACGAGUGGCGGACGGGUGAGUAAUGCAUGGGAAUCUAGCUGAUGGAGGGGGAUAACUACGGGAACCUGUUGCUAAUCCCGCGUACCAUCGGAUGAGCCCACGGGGGAUUAGGUAGUUGGUGAGGUAAAGGCACACCACGCAGACGAGCGCUAACUGGUCUGAGAGGAUGACCGGCCACACUGGGACUGAGACACGGCCCAGACCCCUACGGGAGGCAGCAGUGGGGAAUAGUGCGCAAUGGGCGAAACCUGACGCAGCCAUGCCGCGUGUAUGAAGAAGGCCUUCGGGUUGUAAAGUUCUUUCGGUAGCGAGGCGUUACCCGCAGAAGAAGCACCGGCUAACUCCGUGCCAGCCGCCGCGGUAAUAC
RNAcentral lists this ribosomal RNA (405 nucleotides) under uncultured bacterium. RNAcentral describes it as "partial 16S ribosomal RNA". It matches the Rfam family "Bacterial small subunit ribosomal RNA", at positions 29 to 526 of the family's 1533-position model. The record is from RNAcentral.